This 630-nucleotide ribosomal RNA is filed under the name Aplanochytrium stocchinoi. Its description in RNAcentral is "partial Bacterial small subunit ribosomal RNA". It matches the Rfam family "Bacterial small subunit ribosomal RNA", at positions 121 to 760 of the family's 1533-position model. Lineage: Eukaryota; Bigyra; Thraustochytrida; Thraustochytriidae. The record is from RNAcentral.
GGAACGUACCUUUUGGUUCGGAACAACUGAGGGAAACUUCAGCUAAUACCGGAUAAGCCCUUACGGGGAAAGAUUUAUCGCCGAAAGAUCGGCCCGCGUCUGAUUAGCUAGUUGGUGAGGUAAUGGCUCACCAAGGCGACGAUCAGUAGCUGGUCUGAGAGGAUGAUCAGCCACACUGGGACUGAGACACGGCCCAGACUCCUACGGGAGGCAGCAGUGGGGAAUAUUGGACAAUGGGCGAAAGCCUGAUCCAGCCAUGCCGCGUGUGUGAAGAAGGUCUUCGGAUUGUAAAGCACUUUAAGUUGGGAGGAAGGGCAUUAACCUAAUACGUUAGUGUUUUGACGUUACCGACAGAAUAAGCACCGGCUAACUCUGUGCCAGCAGCCGCGGUAAUACAGAGGGUGCAAGCGUUAAUCGGAAUUACUGGGCGUAAAGCGCGCGUAGGUGGUUUGUUAAGUUGGAUGUGAAAGCCCCGGGCUCAACCUGGGAACUGCAUCCAAAACUGGCAAGCUAGAGUACGGUAGAGGGUGGUGGAAUUUCCUGUGUAGCGGUGAAAUGCGUAGAUAUAGGAAGGAACACCAGUGGCGAAGGCGACCACCUGGACUGAUACUGACACUGAUGUGCGAAAGC